RNAcentral lists this ribosomal RNA (494 nucleotides) under uncultured Bacteroidota bacterium. Its description in RNAcentral is "uncultured Bacteroidetes bacterium partial 16S ribosomal RNA". The record is from RNAcentral. Lineage: Bacteria; Pseudomonadati; Bacteroidota.
CACGGAGUUAGCCGAUGCUUUUUCUCCGGGUACUCUCAGCUGCGCCACACGUGGCACAGCUUGCUCCCCGGCAAAAGAGGUUUACAAUCCAUAGGACCGUCUUCCCUCACGCGACUUGGCUGAUUCAGGCUCGCGCCCAUUGACCAAUAUUCCUCACUGCUGCCUCCCGUAGGAGUCUGGUCCGUGUCUCAGUACCAGUGUGGGGGACCUUCCUCUCAGAACCCCUACGCAUCGUCGCCUCGGUGGGCCGUUACCCCGCCGACUAGCUAAUGCGCCGCAUGCCCAUCCCUGGCCGGAAUCGCUUCCUUUGAUCCUAACGGGAUGUCCCGCAAGGAUGUUACGCGGUAUUAGCCGGAUUUCUCCGGCUUAUCCCCCAGCCCAGGGGCAGGUUGCAUACGUGUUACUCACCCGUGCGCCGGUCGCCGGCGGAUGAAGCAAGCUUCAUCCCCGCUGCCCCUCGACUUGCAUGUGUUAAGCCUGUCGCUAGCGUUCAU